This 289-nucleotide ribosomal RNA is filed under the name uncultured bacterium. Its description in RNAcentral is "partial 16S ribosomal RNA". It matches the Rfam family "Bacterial small subunit ribosomal RNA", at positions 773 to 1060 of the family's 1533-position model. The record is from RNAcentral.
GUGGAUUAGAUACCCUGGUAGUCCACGCCGUAAACGAUGUCAACUAGCCGUUGGUCUUAUUCGUAAGAUUAGUGGCGCAGCUAACGCGAUAAGUUGACCGCCUGGGGAGUACGGCCGCAAGGUUAAAACUCAAAUGAAUUGACGGGGGCCCGCACAAGCGGUGGAGCAUGUGGUUUAAUUCGAUGCAACGCGAAGAACCUUACCUACCCUUGACAUCCAGAGAAUCUGUGAGAGAUCGUAGAGUGCCUUCGGGAACUCUGAGACAGGUGCUGCACGGCCGUCGCCAGCU